UACGUAGGAUGCGAGCGUUGUCCGGAUUUACUGGGUGUAAAGGGAGCGCAGGCGGAUUGAUAAGUCAGUGGUGAAAUACUCAGGCUCAACCUGGGAACUGCCACUGAUACUGUUGAUCUUGAGUGUGGAAGAGGUUGAUGGAAUUCCUGGUGUAGCGGUGAAAUGCGUAGAUAUCAGGAAGAACACCGAUGGCGAAGGCAGUCAACUGGUCCACUACUGACGCUCAUGCUCGAAAGCGUGGGGAUCAAACAGG
This 253-nucleotide unclassified non-coding RNA is filed under the name uncultured Ignavibacteria bacterium. RNAcentral's name for it is "contains 16S-23S intergenic spacer region". It matches the Rfam family "Bacterial small subunit ribosomal RNA", at positions 524 to 776 of the family's 1533-position model. The record is from RNAcentral. Lineage: Bacteria; Pseudomonadati; Ignavibacteriota; Ignavibacteria.